This 21-nucleotide non-coding RNA is filed under the name Caenorhabditis elegans. Lineage: Eukaryota; Metazoa; Nematoda; Chromadorea; Rhabditida; Rhabditidae. The record is from RNAcentral.
UCCGUUCUAAAUUCUCUUUUC